UGGAGGAAGUGGGUCACAGUAGGCGGGCUUUGAGGACUCCUAGUGCUCAAGCUCCACCCAAUAGGGAAGAGACAGCCUCCUGCUGGCUGCCUUCAGAUCAAGAUGUAGAACUCUCAGCUCCUCCACCACCAUGUCUGUCUGCAUGCCAUCAUGCUUCCUGUUGUGAUGAUAAUUGACCAAACCUCUGAACCUGUAAGCCCCAACUAAAUGUUGUCCUCUAUAAGAGUCGCGCUGGUCAUGGUGUCUCUUCACGGAACCCCAACUAAGACAGUGGCCCACGAGAAGAUCACAAGAGUAGAAAGGCUACAUGGUGAAAAAAGUGCCUGUCACCAACAGUGCUUCCCGGUGUCCUCGCCUGCACAGUGUAUUCCAGACUUUGGGAUCCGUGUCAAUCAAUUCGAAUUCCUUCUUUAUUGUAAAGUGCCCACAGAGGCCAGAAGAGGGCGCUGGAUCCCCUUGAUCUGGAGAUACCGGAGUUUGUGAGCAGUGGGACCUGACUGAACUCUGGUCUCCUGUACCAGGGCCACUGAGCCACCUUGCCAGUCCCAUAUCUCACUAUUUUAUAGAAAAUUUUCAUCAAAUAAAUAAUUAAUACUGAAAUUAU
Molecule: non-coding RNA, 604 nt
Organism: Rattus norvegicus (Norway rat)
Lineage: Eukaryota; Metazoa; Chordata; Mammalia; Rodentia; Muridae
Source: RefSeq, a predicted model, not a curated record